This 423-nucleotide ribosomal RNA is filed under the name uncultured bacterium. RNAcentral's name for it is "partial 16S ribosomal RNA". It matches the Rfam family "Bacterial small subunit ribosomal RNA", at positions 359 to 773 of the family's 1533-position model. The record is from RNAcentral.
GAAUAUUGGACAAUGGGGGGAACCCUGAUCCAGCCAUGCCGCGUGGGUGAAGAAGGCCUUUUGGUUGUAAGGCCCUUUAAGCGAGGGGGAGGCUCCUCUGGUUAAUACCUGGAGAUAGGGGCCGUUACUCGCAGAAAAAGCCCCGGCUCACCCUGUCCCAGCCGCCGCGGUAAUACAGAGGGUGCAAGCGUUAAUCGGAUUUACUGGGCGUAAAGCGCGCGUAAGUGGCCAAUUAAGUCAAAUGUGAAAUCCCCGAGCUUAACUUGGGAAUUGCAUUCGAUACUGGUUGGCUAGAGUAUGGGAGAGGAUGGUAGAAUUCCAGGUGUAGCGGUGAAAUGCGUAGAGAUCUGGAGGAAUACCGAUGGCGAAGGCAGCCAUCUGGCCUAAUACUGACACUGAGGUGCGAAAGCAUGGGGAGCAAAC